UACGGAGGAUGCGAGCGUUAUCCGGAUUUAUUGGGUUUAAAGGGUGCGCAGGCGGCUUUUUAAGUCGGAUGUGAAAUCCCCGAGCUUAACUUGGGAAUUGCAUUCGAUACUGGGAAGCUAGAAUAUGGGAGAGGAUGGUAGAAUUCCAGGUGUAGCGGUGAAAUGCGUAGAGAUCUGGAGGAAUACCGAUGGCGAAGGCAGCCAUCCGGCCUAAUACUGACGCUGAGGUACGAAAGCAUGGGGAGCAAACAGGAUUAGAUACCCUGGUAGUCCAUGCCGUAAACGAUGUCUACUAGCCGUUGGGGUCUUUGAGACUUUAGUGGCGCAGCUAACGCGAUAAGUAGACCGCCUGGGGAGUACGGUCGCAAGACUAAA
RNAcentral lists this ribosomal RNA (375 nucleotides) under uncultured bacterium. RNAcentral describes it as "bacterial SSU rRNA". It matches the Rfam family "Bacterial small subunit ribosomal RNA", at positions 524 to 898 of the family's 1533-position model. The record is from RNAcentral.